RNAcentral lists this transfer RNA (71 nucleotides) under Loxodonta africana (African savanna elephant). It matches the Rfam family "tRNA". From Rfam's summary of the family: Transfer RNA (tRNA) molecules are approximately 80 nucleotides in length. Lineage: Eukaryota; Metazoa; Chordata; Mammalia; Proboscidea; Elephantidae. The record is from Rfam by way of RNAcentral.
GCAUUGGUGGUUUAGUGGUAGGAUUCUUGCCUUCCAUUCAAGAGACCCAGGUUUGAUUCCUGACCAAUGCA